This 814-nucleotide long non-coding RNA is filed under the name Marmota monax (woodchuck). Lineage: Eukaryota; Metazoa; Chordata; Mammalia; Rodentia; Sciuridae. The record is from RNAcentral.
CUUGCUUCUAACAAAUAGACCUGAGGAAGUGGUUUUGAGUAAAUUCUGAGGCUAGGUCAAAAAAGGCUUCUGCUUGGUCCUCUUGGGACACUUCUUCUUGGAACCCAGUGGUCAAGUUGUGAGGAAGCCCAGGGCACAGAGAAACCAUCUUAUGUCCUAGCCCACAGGCAGCACCAGCUACCAGAUGCUGUGAGCUAGAAAGUGAGGGGACUCUGCCUUGGAUUUGGUUAGACUGCCGUGGUGUGACAACAGGAGAUCCCACAGGAGAACGACUCUGACAAGCCAUCCUUCUUCCCCUUGCUGUUUGAGACAAUAAAUGAUUGUUUUAGCUACUAAAGUUAGGGUAGGGUGCUUUGCAGCCAAUCGUCUAUAACAAAGUACCAGAGACCUGGUGCCUUAAACAAUGAACAUUUAUUUCUAGUUCUGAAGGCUGGGAAGUUCAAGAUGAAAACUUUGACAGAUUCAAUGUGUCUUCUCUCUCUCUCUCUCUCUCUCUCUCUCUCUCUCUCUCUCACACACACACACACACACACACUCCUGUGGAUUGGACCCCCCAGGGACCCUCUACCACUGAGCUAACUCCCCAGCCCCUCCUGCUUUUUACCCCAGUGGCUUGGACAGAGGUUUAUUUAGGGAAAAUGUGGGCCAUCUCCAGUGUGAGAGUCACCUGCGGAGUGGGUGUUAGCACUGACAGAGGCCAGGGCUAGGGCUGAACUAGAGAUGGAGCCAGGGAAGCUGCACAAUUUCACACGGAUUACACAAGGCCUUCACGUUCAAGGGCGUAGGUCAAGGGCACUGACCAAGAGCAGUCACU